UAAGUAUUUCUUAGAUAUGCUUUUCUAAAAACAGUGAUGUCCCGACACGACGUCGGGACAAGCAACCAGCGACACGAUGUCACAUUGGUUGCGUUCACGUCCGUUUUCUCAAUAAAAAAAGCACAUCUUAGAAAUACUUAGC
Molecule: non-coding RNA, 142 nt
Filed under: uncultured Lachnospira sp.
Lineage: Bacteria; Bacillati; Bacillota; Clostridia; Lachnospirales; Lachnospiraceae
Source: RNAcentral